AGUCUGGUGCCAGCACCCGCGGUAAUCCCAGCUCAAUUAGCGUAUAUUAAAGUUGUUGCAGUUAAAAAGCUCGUAGUUGAACCUCUGUUUGGGACUAAUUUUGGCUUCUGUCAGGUUAGUUUCAAGCAUCCGCUUGCAAAACCUAGCCGUCAUUCACUUGUCGCUAGGAGGAGCAGGCAUUUUACUUUGAAAAAAUUAGAGUGUUUAAGGCAGGCAAUUGCCCGCAUAUAUUAGCAUGGAAUAAUAGAAUAGGACACUUUUCCAUUUCGUUGGUUAUUGGAAUCGUGUAAUGAUUAAUAGGGACAGUUGUGGGCAUUUGUAUUUAAUUGUCAGAGGUGAAAUUCUUGGAUUUAUUAAAGACAAACUAACGCGAAAGCAUUUGCCAAGGAUGUUUUCAUUAAUCAAGAACGAAAGUUAGGGGAUCAAAGACGAUCAGAUACCGUCAUAGUCUUAACUAUAAACUAUUCCGACUCAAUGUUCGACUGGCUUAUAUAACCAGUUGAGCGUUGUAUGAGAAAUCAAAGUCUUUAGGUUCUGGGGGGAGUAUGGUUGCAAAGCUGAAACUUAAAGGAAUUGACGGAAGAGCACAACCAGGAGUGGAUUCUGCGGCUUAAUUUGACUCAACACGGGGAAACUUACCAGGUUAAAACAAUAGUGGGAUUGACAGUUUGAGAGCGCUUUCUUGAUUCGUUGGGUGGUGGUGCAUGGCCGUUCUUAGUUGGUGGAGUGAUUUGUCUGCUUAAUUGCGUUAACGAACGAGACCUUAACCUGCUUACUAGACUGCCGAUGUAUAAUCGACAGCUCUUCUUAGAGGGACUUUGGUUGUUUUAACUCCAAGGAAGUUUGAGGCAAUAACAGGUCUGUGAUGCCCUUAGAUAUCCUGGGCCGCACGCGUCAUACAAUGACCAGUUCAGAAAGUUUCAUCCUGAUCCGGAAGGAUACGGGUAAUCUUGACAGUACUGGUCGUGUUAGGGAUCGAUCUUUGCAAUUAUAGAUUUUGAACGAGGAAUUCCUAGUAAGUGCAGUUCAUCAGACUGUACUGAUUACGUCCCUGCUCUUUGUACACACCGCCCGUCGCUUCUACCGAGUGAGUGGUCCGGUGAGAUACUUGAACUUGGCCGGAUUUAUCCGAUCGGGGAAGAUUAUCAAACCUAUCCACUUCGAGGAAGAAGAAGUCGUAACAAGGU
RNAcentral lists this ribosomal RNA (1187 nucleotides) under metagenome. RNAcentral describes it as "SSU rRNA". It matches the Rfam family "Eukaryotic small subunit ribosomal RNA", at positions 558 to 1800 of the family's 1831-position model. The record is from RNAcentral.